AACGAACGCUGGCGGCAUGCCUAACACAUGCAAGUCGAACGAGACCUUCGGGUCUAGUGGCGCACGGGUGCGUAACGCGUGGGAACCUGCCCUUAGGUUCGGAAUAACUCCCCGAAAGGGGUGCUAAUACCGGAUAAUGUCUUCGGACCAAAGAUUUAUCGCCUUUGGAUGGGCCCGCGUUGGAUUAGCUAGUUGGUAGGGUAAAAGCCUACCAAGGCGACGAUCCAUAGCUGGUCUGAGAGGAUGAUCAGCCACACUGGGACUGAGACACGGCCCAGACUCCGACGGGAGGCAGCAGUGGGGAAUAUUGGACAAUGGGCGAAAGCCUGAUCCAGCAAUGCCGCGUGAGUGAUGAAGGCCUUAGGGUUGUAAAGCUCUUUUACCCGGGAUGAUAAUGACAGUACCGGGAGAAUAAGCUCCGGCUAACUCC
RNAcentral lists this ribosomal RNA (430 nucleotides) under uncultured bacterium. Its description in RNAcentral is "partial 16S ribosomal RNA". It matches the Rfam family "Bacterial small subunit ribosomal RNA", at positions 29 to 504 of the family's 1533-position model. The record is from RNAcentral.